AAGAGACUUAGAAAUUUUAGCUUUUUAAAUGUGUGGGCUGCUGAUAAGAUUUGGCUCUGUGUCCCCACCCAAAUCUCAUCUUGAAUUGUAAUCCCCCCAUGUCUAGGGAGGGACCUGGUGGGAGGUGAUUGGAUCAUGAAGGCGGUUUCUCCCAUGCUGUUCUCAUGACAGUGAGUGAGUUUUCCUGAGAGCUGAUGGUUUUAAGUGUGGCACUUCCUCAUUCGUUCACACUCUCUCCUGCCGCCUUGUGAAGAAGGUACUUGCUUCUCCUUUGCCUUCUGCCAUGUUUGUACACCCAUUGCAAUGCAACUUUGCAGAAAUCCCUUUCAAGAGAUCAAGUCUAUUUCCCACCCCUUGAAUCUGGACAGACUUUUGACUUACUUUGGCUAAUACGAUGCAGCAAAAGCAAUCCUGUGCCAGUUGAUCAAGAGGCCCAGCAGCUCCCACUGCCUUGGACCCCUGUCCUGCUGUCAUAUAAACAAAUAUGGGCUAGCCUGCUACAGGCUGAGAGACCAUGUGAAGCAGAACCAAGUUGUUCCAGUUGAAGCCAUCCAGAUCAUCCUAUAGCCAGCUGACCCCAAAACAUGUGACAGACCCCAGCCCAGAUCAGCAGAUCUGCCUAUCCAAUCUGCAGCUGACCUGAGACACAUGAGUGAGCCCAGCUAAGACUACAAGAACCAUCCAGCUGAUCUGAAAAUUCAUUAAUCAAAUCAAUGCUUAUUGUUGUUAGCUGUAUUGCUUUUCUAUUGCUUUGUAACAAAUUACCACAAAUUUAGUGGCUUAAAACAACACCCAUUUAUUAGCUCACAGUUCUGUAAGUUAGAAAUCUGGAUGGGUUCAGUGGGGUUAGAGUCUCCUUAGAGUCUCACAACCAGUAUUUAGCUUCACUGCUGAGCCAUGUAGUGUACUAUAUUAAUAUUUCCUUUCUUAUGCAACUUGGAGUUGAUAGCUGCUGGCUUUUUUUAUUCACUUAUUUUUAUUGAUACAUAAUAUUUGCAAUUUAUGGGGUACAUGUGAUAUUUUGAUUCCGGCACACAAGGUGUAAUAAUCAAGUCAGGGUGUUUAGAAUAUCCAUCACCUUGAACAUGUAUUAUUUCCUUGUGUUGGGAGCAUUUCAAAUCUAGCUAUUUUGACAUAUAUGGCUGUUAACUAUAGUCAUUCCACUGUGCUAUUGAAUACUAGAACAUAUUCCUUCUCUCUAACUGCAGGUUUGUACCCAUUAAUAAACCUUUCUUCAUCCUUCCACCCCCACUUUCCCAGCCUCUGGCAACUAAUAUAUACAUAAUAUCUAUCUAUUCCCUUGCUGGGUAGGGGAGGGACAGUUGCUGUGUGGGUUAGAAAAAUAGGCCAGGGAGCGGGUGGGAGAUCUCACAGCUCUUUCUACAAACUCUCGUCUAAAUCCAACAUCUAAAUCCAACACAUAAACACCCUAUUAUUUCUCUCAUAAAAGCAAAACAAAACCAAAUCCAAAAAGCCUCACUCCUACUCCACCUCCCGCCUUCUGAUCUCAUGUCUCCCUUCCAUUUGUAGCAAAACUUUUUGGAAGACCUUUCUUCUGUCCAAUAUGGCAGCCCCUAGCUACAUGUGGCUCUCGAGCACUUGCAGUGUAGCCAGCAAAAUCGAGGUGCAUUGUAAGGGUAAAAUAUACACCACAUUUCAAAGACAUCAUAUGAAAAACAAUGCAAACU
This 1688-nucleotide long non-coding RNA is filed under the name Homo sapiens (human). Its description in RNAcentral is "HSALNT0155407". The record is from RNAcentral. Lineage: Eukaryota; Metazoa; Chordata; Mammalia; Primates; Hominidae.